RNAcentral lists this ribosomal RNA (487 nucleotides) under uncultured bacterium. Its description in RNAcentral is "partial 16S ribosomal RNA". It matches the Rfam family "Bacterial small subunit ribosomal RNA", at positions 29 to 508 of the family's 1533-position model. The record is from RNAcentral.
AUUGAACGCUGGCGGCAUGCUUUACACAUGCCAGUCGAGCGGCAGCGCGGGGGCAACCCUGGCGGCGAGCGGCGAACGGGUGAGUAAUGCAUCGGAACGUAUCCUCGAGUGGGGGAUAACCCAGCGAAAGUUGGGCUAAUACCGCAUGAGCUCUGAGGAGGAAAGCGGGGGACCUGCGAGGGCCUCGCGCUGGAGGAGCGGCCGAUGUCCGAUUAGCUAGUUGGUGGGGUAAAGGCUUACCAAGGCGACGAUCGGUAGCUGGUCUGAGAGGAUGAUCAGCCACACUGGGACUGAGACACGGCCCAGACUCCUACGGGAGGCAGCAGUGGGGAAUUUUGGACAAUGGGGGCAACCCUGAUCCAGCCAUGCCGCGUGAGUGAAGAAGGCCUUCGGGUUGUAAAGCUCUUUCGGACGGAACGAAAUGGGCGGGACUAAUACUCCUGUCUGAUGACGGUACCGUAAGAAGAAGCACCGGCUAACUACGUGC